Molecule: ribosomal RNA, 775 nt
Filed under: uncultured Neocallimastigales
Lineage: Eukaryota; Fungi; Neocallimastigomycota; Neocallimastigomycetes; Neocallimastigales
Description: partial large subunit ribosomal RNA
Rfam family: Eukaryotic large subunit ribosomal RNA
Source: RNAcentral
CAUAGCGACUAUCGUGGCAUAUCAAUAAGCGGAGGAAAAGAAACUAACUAGGAUUCCCUUAGUAACGGCGAGUGAAGCGGGAAGAGCUCAAAUUUGAAAUCUUCAAGGUUUUACCUUGACGAAUUGUAGUUUAAAGAAGUGUUUUCUGUUGAAGUUUUGGUAAAAGUUCUUUGGAAUAGGACAUCAUAGAGGGUGAGAAUCCCGUAUUUGACCAUUAUUUUCAGCUGUGUGAUACACUUUCAAAGAGUCGGAUUGUUUGGGAAUGCAGUCCAAAAUGGGUGGUAAAUUUCAUCUAAAGCUAAAUAUUGGCGAGAGACCGAUAGCGAACAAGUACCGUGAGGGAAAGAUGAAAAGAACUUUGAAAAGAGAGUUAAACAGUACGUGAAAUUGUCAAAAGGGAAGCGUUUGACACCAGUGUUGUUUUCUCGAAAAUCAAUUAAAAAAUGCCGGAUUUUGUGUUGUAUUGACCUUAUAAGCUUUCUGCACUCUUUUCUUGUCUUUUUUAAUGCACUUUUCGUUUAACAAGUCAACAUCAGUUUCUUUUGUUGUAAAAGGGCCAUUGGAAGGUGGCUUUCUUUUCGGAGAAAGUGUUUAUAGCCUUUGAUCUCUGCAACCGGAGAGACUGAGGUCUGCAGCGUAGACUCUUCGGGGUUAGAUACAUUUGUGCUAAGCUAUAGCUUUUUAUAGACAACUUGUUGACCAUAUUUAGUCUUGUGGCUUACUCGCUUAUGCUAUUUUACCUACGCUUAGGAUGUUGAUAUGCAUGACUGAUAUA